This 199-nucleotide long non-coding RNA is filed under the name Capsicum annuum. RNAcentral's name for it is "long non-coding RNA (CANN_LNC018244)". The record is from RNAcentral. Lineage: Eukaryota; Viridiplantae; Streptophyta; Magnoliopsida; Solanales; Solanaceae.
CUGAUAUCGAUCAUGGUGAUCGUUUUGACCAAAAGAAGCAAUUCUAGAUGUUAAAUUUCAUCCUUAAAUUCUUUUCUCAGAUGUAUAGUUAGAUUUUUGGCUCUUCAUACAAAUAAUCUAUCAUGUAUCACUCAUAUUCAAUAUUUUGCACAUUCUGAUGUGAAAAUGAAAAACAUAAAAUAGACAAGCACACCCAUCU